CUACGUGCCAGCAGCCGCGGUAAUACGGGAGGUCCUGGCGUUAUCCGGAUUUAUUGGGUUUAAAGGGAGCGCAGGCUGCACUUUAAGCGUGUUGUGAAAUGUACCGGCUCAACCGGUAACGUGCAGCGCGAACUGGGGUGCUUGAGUACGAAGAGGGAAGGCGGAACUCGUGGUGUAGCGGUGAAAUGCUUAGAUAUCACGAGGAACUCCGAUCGCGAAGGCAGCUUUCCGUUUCGGAACUGACGCUGAGGCUCGAAAGUGCGGGUAUCGAACAGGAUUAGAUACCCUGGUAGUCCGCACGGUAAACGAUGGAUGCUCGCUGUUGGAUAUUUUUAUUCAGUGGCUAAGUGAAAACGUUAAGCAUCCCACCUGGGGAGUACGCCGGCAACGGUGAAACUCAAAGGAAUUGACGGGGGCCCGCACAAGCGGUGGAGCAUGUGGUUUAAUUCGAAGCAACGCGAAGAACCUUACCAGGUCUUGACAUCCCGAUGCUAUUUCUAGAGAUAGAAAGUUA
This 514-nucleotide ribosomal RNA is filed under the name uncultured bacterium. RNAcentral's name for it is "bacterial SSU rRNA". It matches the Rfam family "Bacterial small subunit ribosomal RNA", at positions 501 to 1016 of the family's 1533-position model. The record is from RNAcentral.